UACGGAGGAUGCAAGCGUUAUCCGGAUUUAUUGGGUUUAAAGGGUGCGCAGGUUGUUUGAUAAGUCAGUGGUGAAAGUCUGUCGCUUAACGGUAGGAUUGCCAUUGAUACUGUUAGACUUGAAUAUGGAUGAGGUAGGCGGAAUGUGUAGUGUAGCGGUGAAAUGCAUAGAUAUUACACAGAACACCGAUUGCGAAGGCAGCUUACUAAUCCAUCAUUUACGCUGAGGCACGAAAGCGUGGGGAUCAAACAGGA
RNAcentral lists this ribosomal RNA (254 nucleotides) under uncultured prokaryote. RNAcentral describes it as "partial 16S ribosomal RNA". It matches the Rfam family "Bacterial small subunit ribosomal RNA", at positions 524 to 777 of the family's 1533-position model. The record is from RNAcentral.